AUUGAACGCUGGCGGAAUGCUUUACACAUGCAAGUCGAACGGCAGCACGGGGGCAACCCUGGUGGCGAGUGGCGAACGGGUGAGUAAUACAUCGGAACGUGCCCAGUCGUGGGGGAUAACGUAGCGAAAGCUACGCUAAUACCGCAUACGAUCUCUGGAUGAAAGCGGGGGACCGCAAGGCCUCGCGCGAUUGGAGCGGCCGAUGGCAGAUUAGGUAGUUGGUGGGGUAAAGGCCUACCAAGCCGACGAUCUGUAGCUGGUCUGAGAGGACGACCAGCCACACUGGGACUGAGACACGGCCCAGACUCCUACGGGAGGCAGCAGUGGGGAAUUUUGGACAAUGGGCGCAAGCCUGAUCCAGCCAUUCCGCGUGCAGGAUGAAGGCCCUCGGGUUGUAAACUGCUUUUGUACGGAACGAAAAGGCGCUGGUUAAUACCCGGCGCUGAUGACGGUACCGUAAGAAUAAGCACCGGCUAACUACGUGCCAGCAGCCGCGGUAAUAC
Molecule: ribosomal RNA, 503 nt
Filed under: uncultured bacterium
Lineage: Bacteria
Description: bacterial SSU rRNA
Rfam family: Bacterial small subunit ribosomal RNA
Source: RNAcentral